AUUGGAUAUCAUUCCAAAAGGAAGAGACAUUAUGGAUGAGAACAAUUAUCUUCAGUUGUUUAUUGGGAUGCAGGAAUAAGCACUUAAUACAGUAUUUAUUGUUUCUGUAGCCAAUUGUUGUUUGUCCAUUAUGGAUCUGUAUUUAACAGGGAAAGGAAUUGAUUGCUCCACAAGUAUGAUUCUGUUAAUCAAUAUGCUGCAACAACACAAAUCAGGCAAAACUGAUUUUCACAAGACCAAGUCCACGUGAUGUUUGUUUUGGCUCAAGCGGGUUAGAGAUGAAAGAAUACUGCGAAGGAGAGUAUGGGGGCCCAGGAGGAGGGAAAGAGGGAGAGAGAGAGAGAGAGAGAGAAGGGAAAGGUAGCGGGGGCCCAGGAGGAGGGAAGGAGGGAGAGAGAGAGAGAGAGAGAGAGAAGGGAGCGGGGGCCCAGGAGGAGGGAAGGAGGGAGAAAUAGAGAGAGAAGGGAGCGGGGGCCCAGGAGGAGGGGAGGGAGGAGGGAGAGA
Oncorhynchus tshawytscha (Chinook salmon) is the source of this 504-nucleotide long non-coding RNA. Lineage: Eukaryota; Metazoa; Chordata; Actinopteri; Salmoniformes; Salmonidae. The record is from Ensembl.